This 466-nucleotide ribosomal RNA is filed under the name Vreelandella stevensii. RNAcentral describes it as "partial 16S ribosomal RNA". It matches the Rfam family "Bacterial small subunit ribosomal RNA", at positions 338 to 795 of the family's 1533-position model. The record is from RNAcentral. Lineage: Bacteria; Pseudomonadati; Pseudomonadota; Gammaproteobacteria; Oceanospirillales; Halomonadaceae.
CCUACGGGUGGCAGCAGUGGGGAAUAUUGGACAAUGGGCGAAAGCCUGAUCCAGCCAUGCCGCGUGUGUGAAGAAGGCCUUCGGGUUGUAAAGCACUUUCAGUGGGGAAGAAAGCCUUGGGGCUAAUACCCUCGAGGAAGGACAUCACCCACAGAAGAAGCACCGGCUAACUCCGGUGCCAGCAGCCGCGGUAAUACGGAGGGUGCGAGCGUUAAUCGGAAUUACUGGGCGUAAAGCGCGCGUAGGCGGUCUGAUAAGCCGGUUGUGAAAGCCCCGGGCUCAACCUGGGAACGGCAUCCGGAACUGUCAGGCUAGAGUGCAGGAGAGGAAGGUAGAAUUCCCGGUGUAGCGGUGAAAUGCGUAGAGAUCGGGAGGAAUACCAGUGGCGAAGGCGGCCUCCUGGACUGACACUGACGCUGAGGUGCGAAAGCGUGGGUAGCAAACAGGAUUAGAUACCCCAGUAGUC